This 253-nucleotide ribosomal RNA is filed under the name uncultured bacterium. Its description in RNAcentral is "partial 16S ribosomal RNA". It matches the Rfam family "Bacterial small subunit ribosomal RNA", at positions 524 to 776 of the family's 1533-position model. The record is from RNAcentral.
AACGUAGGAGACAACCGUUAUCCGGAGUUACUGGGCGUAAAGGGCGUGUAGGUGGUUGUGUAAGUUCGGCGUGAAAUCUCUCGGCUUAACCGGGAGUGGUCGUCGGAUACUGCACGACUAGAGGACGGUAGAGGCGUGUGGAAUUCCGGGUGUAGUGGUGAAAUGCGUAGAGAUCCGGAGGAACACCAGUGGCGAAGGCGACACGCUGGGCCGUACCUGACACUGAGGCGCGAAAGCCAGGGGAGCAAACGGG